AUUGAACGCUGGCGGCAUGCCUUACACAUGCAAGUCGAACGGCAGCACGGGAGCAAUCCUGGUGGCGAGUGGCGAACGGGUGAGUAAAGUAUCGGAACGUGCCCAGUCGUGGGGGAUAACGUAGCGAAAGUUACGCUAAUACCGCAUACGAUCUAUGGAUGAAAGCGGGGGAUCGCAAGACCUCGCGCGAUUGGAGCGGCCGAUAUCAGAUUAGGUAGUUGGUGGGGUAAAGGCUCACCAAGCCGAAGAUCUGUAGCUGGUCUGAGAGGACGACCAGCCACACUGGGACUGAGACACGGCCCAGACUCCUACGGGAGGCAGCAGUGGGGAAUUUUGGACAAUGGGCGCAAGCCUGAUCCAGCCUUGCCGCGUGCAGGAUGAAGGCCUUCGGGUUGUAAACUGCUUUUGUACGGAACGAAAAGGUUUGACUUAAUACGUUGGACUCAUGACGGUACCGUAAGAAUAAGCACCGGCUAACUACGUGCCAGCCGCCGCAGUAA
Molecule: ribosomal RNA, 500 nt
Filed under: uncultured bacterium
Lineage: Bacteria
Description: partial 16S ribosomal RNA
Rfam family: Bacterial small subunit ribosomal RNA
Source: RNAcentral